RNAcentral lists this small RNA (125 nucleotides) under Marmota monax (woodchuck). Lineage: Eukaryota; Metazoa; Chordata; Mammalia; Rodentia; Sciuridae. The record is from RNAcentral.
GCUGGGCGCAGUAGUGCAUGCCUGUAAUCCCAGUAGCUCAGGAGGCUGAGACGUGAGGAUCGUGAGUUCAAAACCAGCCUCAGCAACAAAAAGGUGCUAAGUAACUCAGUGAGACCAUGUCUCUA